RNAcentral lists this transfer RNA (67 nucleotides) under Marmota monax (woodchuck). RNAcentral describes it as "tRNA.Ala". Lineage: Eukaryota; Metazoa; Chordata; Mammalia; Rodentia; Sciuridae. The record is from RNAcentral.
GGUUAUGGCUCAGUGGUAGAGUGCUUGCCUAGCACAUGUGAAGCCCUGGGUUCGAUUCUCAGCACCA